UACGUAGGUGGCAAGCGUUGUCCGGAUUUACUGGGCGUAAAGAGCGCGCAGGCGGUCGUUCAAGUCGCGUGUGAAAGCCCCCGGCUCAACUGGGGAGGGUCACGCGAUACUGAUCGACUCGAAGGCAGGAGAGGGAAGUGGAAUUCCCGGUGUAGUGGUGAAAUGCGUAGAUAUCGGGAGGAACACCAGUGGCGAAGGCGACUUCCUGGCCUGUUCUUGAUGCUGAGGCGCGAAAGCUAGGGGAGCAAACGGG
Molecule: ribosomal RNA, 253 nt
Filed under: uncultured bacterium
Lineage: Bacteria
Description: partial 16S ribosomal RNA
Rfam family: Bacterial small subunit ribosomal RNA
Source: RNAcentral